AAAGAAGUAAGCUAACUUAAGCUAUUAGGUUCAUACCCUAAUUAUGAAAGUAAAUCUUUCCUUCUUUA
This 68-nucleotide transfer RNA is filed under the name Mitjaevia bifurcata. RNAcentral describes it as "tRNA-Met". The record is from RNAcentral. Lineage: Eukaryota; Metazoa; Arthropoda; Insecta; Hemiptera; Cicadellidae.